Molecule: ribosomal RNA, 465 nt
Filed under: uncultured Pseudomonadota bacterium
Lineage: Bacteria; Pseudomonadati; Pseudomonadota
Description: bacterial SSU rRNA
Rfam family: Bacterial small subunit ribosomal RNA
Source: RNAcentral
GGAGAAAAGCAGGGGAUCGCAAGGCCUCACGCUAUUGGAGCGGCCUAUGUCUGAUUAGCUAGUUGGUGAGGUAAAGGCUCACCAAGGCGACGAUCAGUAGCUGGUCUGAGAGGAUGAUCAGCCACACUGGGACUGAGACACGGCCCAGACUCCUACGGGAGGCAGCAGUGGGGAAUUUUGGACAAUGGGCGAAAGCCUGAUCCAGCCAUUCCGCGUGAGUGAAGAAGGCCUUCGGGUUGUAAAGCUCUUUAGGCAGGGAAGAAAAGUUCUAGGCUAAUACCCUGGAAUGCUGACGGUACCUGCAGAAUAAGCACCGGCUAACUACGUGCCAGCAGCCGCGGUAAUACGUAGGGUGCGAGCGUUAAUCGGAAUUACUGGGCGUAAAGCGUGCGCAGGCGGUUUUGUAAGUCAGAUGUGAAAGCCCCGGGCUCAACCUGGGAAUUGCGUUUGAAACUACAAGGCUAG